UUUUUUUUUGAUAACCCAGGUGUCCCAGCUUAGCCGGACUAAAUCCUGGACCUCUAGCCCCCGGCCCCUCAGUGACUAGUGGAGGUAAAUCGCAGGUUGUGCCCUUGUUGGUUCCCAGGUUCCCACAUGGCUUUUACUCCUUCCCCAAAGGGACCCUCCUCCAUGGUUAUUACAUCACCAAGCUGCUCCAACCCUUCCUCUGGUUAUUACAUCACUUGGCUGCUCCAACCAGGAAUCGAACUCCCCACACUUAGUUCCAG
This 260-nucleotide long non-coding RNA is filed under the name Olea europaea (common olive). Its description in RNAcentral is "long non-coding RNA (OEUR_LNC014450)". Lineage: Eukaryota; Viridiplantae; Streptophyta; Magnoliopsida; Lamiales; Oleaceae. The record is from RNAcentral.